CGCUAGUAAUCGCGAAUCAGAAUGUCGCGGUGAAUACGUUCCCGGGUCUUGUACACACCGCCCGUCACACCAUGGGAGUCAGUAACGCCCGAAGUCAGUGACCCAACCUUAUGGGAGGGAGCUGCCGAAGGCGGGACCGAUAACUGGGGUGAAGUCGUAACAAGGUAAC
RNAcentral lists this ribosomal RNA (169 nucleotides) under uncultured bacterium. RNAcentral's name for it is "partial 16S ribosomal RNA". It matches the Rfam family "Bacterial small subunit ribosomal RNA", at positions 1333 to 1500 of the family's 1533-position model. The record is from RNAcentral.